GGCAAGUGAAUGGAAGAUGGCAGAGUGUGCGUGCGUGUGUGGGAUGGUGGAGGUGGGGGGUGAUAAACAACAGGUUGCCCCGGAGUGGACGUGACGUGUCCUGAAUGACUUGUGAAAAUAACAUCAGUGUCGAGUGGACGUCGACACGGCGCAAUGAGGCUUUUUACUCGGCCCGGUAUGGAGACGUCAGACAGCACAAGGUAGUCCAUGGGGCUGUAAACAUCCCCGACUGGAAGCUGUCUUCCCUGCAAAGCUUUCAGUCUGAUGUUUGCCGUCGCCGGCUACUUCCAGCCUCCUCCGCCGCCGCCAUGGACCAAGACAACUUUUCUUCUCAAAUCUGGGCUCAAUUCAUGUAAACAUCCUACACUCAGCUGAAAUCCACUGCAGAAACGGCUGAGAGAAGGGUGUUUACGUGCGCUGGCUUGGAACUAAGACCACAAGAAUCACCAAGAGCAAGUCAAUCCUCAUGUCACAUCACAAGUUGUGAAUGGAAUCUUUGUCACCUUUGUGUUUCUUUCAUGGGGCAUUAAAUGAUGGUUAACUGAU
Syngnathus acus (greater pipefish) is the source of this 546-nucleotide long non-coding RNA. RefSeq lists it as uncharacterized. The transcript has 2 exons. The record is from RefSeq and is a predicted model, not a curated record. Lineage: Eukaryota; Metazoa; Chordata; Actinopteri; Syngnathiformes; Syngnathidae.